This 15720-nucleotide long non-coding RNA is filed under the name Gossypium barbadense (sea-island cotton). RNAcentral's name for it is "long non-coding RNA (GBAR_LNC006659)". The record is from RNAcentral. Lineage: Eukaryota; Viridiplantae; Streptophyta; Magnoliopsida; Malvales; Malvaceae.
AUCUACUAAAUCGAUAAUCGAAAAAUGGGAUUCUGAAAUCACUAUUUUUGAUAUCACUAAAAAAUGGACAGUUACAAUUCUCCCUUGUAAUAGGUCCAUUUAGCCCGGGCCCAUUAGAAUAAAAAAAUAGAAAUUAAAAACCAAAAAUAAAAAAAACACACAAAUAAAAAAUCCAAAUUCCAGUGUCCGGUUACAAAUAUUUGGGCCAAAAAUAACCUAAACCUUAACCCCUUAAUACAGACCUAACCCAAUCACAUAGUCCAAGAGGGCUAUACUAAAAUCCCUAGCCCGAACAGCCCAAACUCAAAAGGAAUCCCAGCAACCAAGCACCAGAAGCUUCUGGAACAUGCUAGAACAGUGCUAGGGGGUCGGGUCUCACGAGCGGUUUCUUCGCACGGCUUCUUUCACGCGUGCCUCUCCCCGCUCCUCCGUACGGAUGAUCCUGUAAAGAAUACACGAGAAGGAAUAGACUAACAGAAUAUACAAAAUGACAGCAUGAAAUAUUUUUAUUUUUCGCUAUUUUAUUCUGUAAAUUUAGGCUAUAGAAAGCCCUCGUUUGUACCCUGUAUUUUUCUACGCACACUACGCAAAUCCAAUACUGAGAAUGAAAAAAAUUAGAAAGGCGAUUUAAGAUUUUUCUUCCGUCUUCAAUAUUUUUUUUCCUUUUUUGCAUAUAUCAUGUUUUUAGUUUUUUUUUUUUUAAAAAUCAAGAAAAGCGAGAAAGUUACCUUCGUUAAAUGUAUCGAUGAGAUCCCUUGGCUUCUCCGUUGAAAUCGGGGUUAGCAAUGCGAAUUAUCAAGUGAGAAUGGUCUUUGAAUGUUGAUUUCGGAGGAAGUAAAGGCUGCUUCUACAUCACUCACCAAUUUUAAUGGUGAACUGGUGAUGAACGGGCCUUAGCAAAUGGAGGCUGCUGGAAUGAACCCUAAAGAACUGAUUUUAGGGCAGUGACUUUUAGUUUAAUUGUUGGCUGUGUUUGGAAAAUAAAUGGGAAAAGAAAGGUUUUGAAUAACCUAUUAAACAAAGCGGCACCGUUUACACCCAUGGAGGUCCGCGCAUUGGCCCGAUAAAGGAGUUGGAUCAGCGCCCUUUUUGUUUGAAUGGGUAUAUUGCGCGCUGGAUCCCUCCUUUCGCGUGCCGCCUCCAAUUGUGCCCUAUGUGUCUUCUUUGUUUUUUGUUAAUUUGGCUCUAUAAAUUUUUGCAUUUUUUUUAUUUUGGUCUGUGAUACAGUACUGCGUUUUGAGCUUGGGAAAAUUUACAAUUUCAGUCCCUAUACAUUUAUGCGGGUUGAGCAUUGAUCCAUUUUACUAAUUACUUUAUUUGCAAAUUAUCCUCCUUAUUUUACUGCAAUCUUAAUUUGGUCUUAUAUUUGCACAAUCGGUUAACUUGAAAUACAUUUAAUAUGUUCAUGCCUUAAUUCAUGUUAAUAAUUUUGUUUGUUUACAUUUGUAUAAUUAUUUUAAGAUUGUUUUUUAUAUUUUCACAUUAUGUAUCCUGUUUCCUUAAAUACUUUAUAUAUAUAUAUUUGUAUACUAAUCAUUCUUAUUAUAAUUUUUUAUAAUAAUUAUUAUUUUGAAUGUUUUAAAAUUCUUUUUAUAUUACAUUGUUUUAAUACCUUAUUAAUAAGUGUUGUCAAUAUAUUUAUAUAUAUGUCGAUACAUAAAUUAUUUAAAAUAUUUCUUGAUUUAUGUCUCAUUUAAAUGUCUGUAUGUACAUAUGAUUCUGUUUCGGGAACUCCAUCUUUGUAUUUAUAAAAUUGUUAUAUUGAAAUGUUUUUCCAUAUUAUGUUAUCCUAGUAUGUUAUUUAGUAUCUCUUCUAAAUAUUUUUAAGUAAAAUGGUAUGUAUAUAAUUUAUAUGAUAAUCUAAUUUCACAUGUAUUUAUUUUUAUAUGCAUUUUGUUUAAAAUAAAAAAAUCUAUUAUAUGUGUCAUACCUUGCCAUGUAUUAUUAUUUCUUCAUAUUUAAUAUAUUAUUUAAGUUAUCAUUAAGCAUAUAUUUUUGUAUUUAUAUUUAAUCUACAUACGUUAUUAAAACCAUGUUAUUUUUAAAUAUAUAGCUUUUUAAAUUUGUACCUAAUUACUUUUAUUAAAUGUAUAGUAUAUGAUAAAGUUAAGUUAAUUUUAUAAUUCAUAUUUUUGUUUCAUGUUAUUCCAACAUUUAAUUAUUGUUAAAAUUUCUUCACAUGUAUAUAACCCAUAUUAAAUUAUUUUAUUAUAGUCUACGUUUUUGAUUUCAAAUUAAUAUUUCUUUUAUGUAUAUAUUUUUUUCUUUAUUACUCAAAAAUUCUGAAAUAAGGCAAUAUCCAAUAUUUAGGAAUUCGAAAAAUCGUGCUCAAUCGUGUUGGGUAUGAUUUUUCGGUGAACUAAAUAUUUGGAUAACCUUUUUAUAAUUUUAGUGUACGAGUUUUCAAAAGUCAAAAAUCAAUCGUAUUUUUAAAGGUAUAAAGGAUUGUAUCCAAUCGUACUGGGUAUGAUACUGCAUAUUUUUGAAACGAGAGAAUUUUGACCGCUAAUUUGAGCUAUUCAAACAUUUUAAAAAGAAUCAUACUUUGGAAAAUCUUUUCUUUUAAAAAACCUUUUGGUAUAAGGACAAAAUUAAAUCAAUUUGGUACCAAUUUUUGGGAGUAAUGAGGGUGCUAAUCCUUCCUCAUGCGUAACGGACUCUCGAACCCGUUUUUUAUUUUAUUUUACAUGAACCAAAUUUAUUUUUUCAUGGAAUAAAAUGUUUUAGUAGGUGGCCCAAUCACACCUAAAUUAAGAGAUUGGUGGCGACUUCACAUUUUUGUUUUCAAAAGUCGAUCCCCAUUAUUUAAAAAAAAAAAGUUUCGACAGCUUGGCGACUCCACUGGGAAAUGAACAAAGAGAGUCAGGCCAUAAAAUUGAUUAUUUGCUGUCCUUUUGUCAAAGACUUGAAAAUUUGUUUUGAAAGUCAUGAUUCUUUUGAUUGCAUUUGUUUGUAUGAUUGUUGUGGUUUGAGUCUUUUAGAAUAAAUAUGGCAUUGCAUUGCAUAACCGCUGUGGUUAUACCUGUUAAGUAGGAGUAAGAAACUAUGCUUUCGUGAGGUUUUCACUUCCGUAUGGGCUAGUGGAUUGCUUCCGGGAUACAUUCGUCCUAUGAUUUCGUGAGAUUUUCAUCUCCGCAUGGUCAUAGGGAAAUGUAUUCCCCUGAACCGAACUCGAUCCAUAUGAGCCUAUAAUGGGUGAGGAUUGAGGAAUCUGUUGGUUCGGGUACAUUUACUCUAGAACCAGGCUACAUAUAGUGAACCUUAAGAGCUAUCCUUAGGUAGAGCUGCGCCAAGCCUUAGUCAUUGCCCAUAUGUGUGUUAUGAUUAUCUUUGUUUUUAUACUUGUGUUUUAUUACUCUUAUUUGAUACUAACUUGUGUUUUGUUUUGGUUGUGUUUUACAUGACAUUGCAUACUAAAGGAGGUGUUGGUUCGUAUUAGAUUACUAAGUUAGAAAGUUUAACAUGGAGAAUGAAUUUCUUAGUAAAGUUGAGGAUAAUACGGCCGUCCGUGCAUGGUCAUUGAAGUUACAAACAGAGAAAAGGGAUAGCCUAGAAGGAUAUACAUCAGAGUUGUAGAACUUUACUCGUAUCAAUGUAACACAGAAUGAGUUGUAGGAGUUGAAGGAUAUAUGGACUCGUUGGGAUGAGGGCACUAAACAGUUGUUCUACCAGAGUUAUGGUGAUAUACCAUACUUGCUCGAUGUUGGUGGAUAAGCAUUUUUCUGAGGUAUGGCUCAAUUUUGGAAUUCUGCUUAUAAUUGUUUCACUUUUGGGGAAGUAGAUUUGGUUCCUACUUUGGAAGAAUACACUACUUUGUUGAGGAGUCCAAAAGUUUAAGUCAGAAAAAAUUAUGCUAAGGUUACUAAUGGUCAAACUUUUGCGAAGAGGCUAGUGAAUAUUUCGGGGAUGAGUGAAUCUUGGGUCACUGCUUGAAUUCAACAGAAGGGGGAUAGUAAGUGUAUUCCCUGGGAAAAUUUGAGAGAUUUGAUUUUGACGCACCCGGAUGAAAAGAAAAUGGUUGAUAUCUUUGCCUUAAGCAUCUAUGGAUUGAUGAUAUUUUCUAAGGCUCUAAGACAUGUUGAUGAGGCAGUUACAGAUUUGUUUGAUCGUCUUGGGAAGGGAGUCACACCCGUACCUGCAAUACUGGCCGAAAUGUUUAGAUCUUUGAGUAUGUGCCGGAGGAGGGGGGAAGGUCGAUUUAUUGGAUGUGUACAGUUGUUGAUGGUAUGGUUUCACGGGCAUUUUUGGAAAGUGAAUAAGGUACCGUAUCGGGUUUUCUCCGAAGGUUACUCUCCAUUAAAAGAAGAGAUGGUGAUGUAAAGGAGAGAUGAUAUUUCAGAAGAGAAAUGGAUAGAAAUUCUCCAAAAUCUCGAGGAUAAUGUAGAGUGGAGAGCUUUUUGGAUGGUUCCGGAUGAAAUUUUGUAUUGAUGUGGGAGUUAUAAUUGGUUGCCAUUGUUGGGAAUUUGGGGAGCUACUGGAUAUACUCCUUUACUUGCACUAAGGCAAUAUAAAUCGAGGUAGUUCAUACCUACGACACACGGUUGGCUCAGUGUGAACUCCCAUAUAAAGGAAACCACUAUAGGAAGAAGGUCCGGGAACUGUCUGAUGCUUGGAGGAAAAUACACUGGAUGAAAAGGUUGACUGUUGGUUCCAUGGUAACACCUGAAUACAAUGGAUGUUUUAGGAAAAUGGUCAAUGAUAAUAUUCCUAAACCAAGUUUGGAAAGCGCUCGACCAAUGGAAGAACAGUUACAAAUUGCCCCGUCGGAGUUGGAAAUCAUAAAGUAAGAUUUUGAGAAGAGGAAUUCUGAGUUUGGAAAGAAGAUCGAGCAGUUGGAAGAAGAAAAGAUGCACCUAAAGUUAGAUGUGGAAAUUCAGAAGUCAGAGGCAGAAAAGCUACAGAAAAGGAAGAGCGAAGUUGAGGAAGAUUUGGAAAGCUUGAAAAUAGAUUAUAAGAAGUUGCGCUUAUCAAUGAGGACUGAUGGAUUAGGAAAGACUUCAGAACAAUGGCGCCAGGAGGUUCGAGAAAAAAGGGCUAAGGCAGAUCAAUGGGAAAAGAGGUUCCAAGAGGCUCAAGCUCGGAAUGAAGCCUUGGAAAAAAGUCUAUCGGAAAGUAAGAAUGAAAAAGAUGAAUUAAGAGCCAGAGUAGCGGAACUUGAGAGAUCUCUGUGUUUAUAUCGAAAUCUCAAUUCUGUGACAGAGUUGAAAGCAAGCUUAAGUAAGAUCGAGGAGAUGAAAGAGAAAAUAGAAGAGUUAGAAAUGGCAUUGCAGAGUUGCGAAAUGAGGAUUGAGUUCUUGGAGGCAAAUGGGGAGCAAUGGAAGAAUCAGGUUCAUCACUCUCAAGACCAAGUUAGAAGCAGGGAUUACAUCAUGAGAGAAGCUGUAACACAAAUUUGAGAAGUAGCUGAUUACUUGUAGUCAUUGGCGGUACAAGCAGACGUAUUAAGUGUAAAGUACGAGUUGGAGUCAGAUAGGGGACAAGAACUAGCUUCAUUGCUUAGGAAAAUUAAGGCCCUGAGUGUUAGGGCGAAGUCGUAUUUGUAACUCAGUUUUAUGUACAAAAUUUUAUUUUCUAGUAAAGUUUUCUAAAAGGAAUUGAAUCAGAAUUGAUGCCUCCUUUACAUUCAUGCAUUUGCAUUACAUUACAUCAUAUGCAUUAAAGAUCAUAAUAAGAUUCUAAUUAAUUAAAAAAUUAUUUCAGUAAUCUGGAAACCAACAAAAACACACCAAAUAUGCAUCCCUACGAUACGAGGAAAAAGAAUAAGUCAAUGGACAAAAGACUGGAAAAGUUAGAACAAAUGCAAAAAGAUAUGCAGGAGCAAAUGCAGUUACAGAUGCAGGCACAGUUGGUUAAGAUUCAGCAAGAGAUGAAAGAACAGAUGAUGGAGUCCCAACAAGAGAUGAUGAGUCAGUUGUCCCAAUUGAUGAUGGGAAUAGUGGAUAAGGGAAAAGGUCCUAUGGAUAAUAUGGGAGAAAGUAAUGAAGACCCUCAAUAUCCUCCUGGCUUCAUUCCUGUACAUGUACAGACACAACCUGAGAUUAAUUUGCAGAAGCUAUCUGUUACGAUCAGGCCUCAGCAGUUUCAGGCCGGGGUUUCAGUACCAAUGAAUUUUCAAGCUGGUUCAGGUUAUAAUCCUGGUAACAACUCAAAUAAUCUAAUGGUCCCUGAUUUGGAUGAGGUCGCGAAAGAGGAAAAAGUAAAGGUGAAGUCACAAAAGCAGUUAGAGGAAUGGUGUAAAUGGCUGGAGAAAAAGGUCAGAGCAAUAGAAGGUGUUGAUAGACACCCGGGAAUUGAUGCAAAAGAUCUGAGUUUGGUCCCGGACUUAGUACUGCCAUACAAGUUCAGGAUGCCAGAAUUUGAGAAAUACAAUGGAAAGAGCUGUCCUAAAGCUCAUAUCACUAUGUUUUGUAGAAGGAUGACAUGGUAUGUUCAUAAUGAUCAAUUGUUGAUUCAUUGCUUCUAAGAUAGCUUGGUAGGAGUAGCUGUUAAAUGGUACAAUCAAUUUAAUCGAAACAGAAUUAGUUCAUAGAGAGAUUUAGCACAGGCGUUCAUGAAGUAAUAUAGUCAUGUGACAGAUAUAACUCCCGAUAGAAUUACUCUGCAGAAUAUGGAAAAGAAUCCAAACGAAAGUUUUAAGCAGUAUACGCAGAGGUGGAGGGAAAUGGCUAUUCAAGUUCAGCCACCGCUCUUAGAGAAAGAAACUACGAUACUCUUUAUUAACACCUUAAAGGCCCCGUUUAUAACUCAUAUGCUAGGAUGUGCCACUAGGAGCUUUGCGGAUGUGGUCAUGACAGGAGAAAUAAUUGAAAAUGCGAUAAGAAAUGGAAGGGUAGAUGCAGGAGAAAGUGCUAAAAGGUCCGUGCCACGGAAAAAAAGAGAAUGAGGUGAACAAUGUGAACGUGGGAUAUUCGAAGUCUAUUACUGUGAGUCAACCAAAAGCGACAACUGCUGGUCAGGGUUCAUCACGGUAAUAGUCAGGAACCAGGCAGAAUAAUAAGAAGAUUCAAUUUACACCAAUUCCCAUGACAUAUAAAGAGUUAUAUCAAAGUUUGUUCGAUGCACAUGUGGUGACACCUUUUUACUUAAAGCCAUUGCAGCCUCUGUUCCCUAAAUGGUACCACACUAAUGCUCAAUGUGAGUAUCACGCAGGAAUUGUGGGUGAUUCGAUAGAAAAUUGCACCACUUUUAAGAAGCUGGUUGAGAGAUUUAUUCAGAUGGGUAUUGUGAAAUUUGAUAAUGUGCCCAAUACUGAAAAUCCACUGCCUAAUCAUACUGAUAGCGGGGUAAAUGCAAUAAAUGGAGAUAUUGGAAAGAGGAUCAAGAGGGAUGUUUUAGAAGUAAAGACGCCUUUGAGACGAGUUUAGAAAGAGAUGGCAAGAAGAGGGUUAAUUACUUUAAACACAGAAAGAAAUGAUGAUGGGGUGGAGAAUUAUUAUGAGUUCCAUCAUAAAGAGGGACACAGGAUUCAAGAAUGUGAAGAAUUCAGAGUUGUUAUUCAGGGCCUGUUGGACAGCAAAGAAAUGGAGUUUUAUGAAGAGGUCAAUGAAGAGGAGUAUAUAUGUGCGUCAGAAUCCACAUCAAGUCCAAAAGUCAAUUAUCCUGUGGUCAUUAUCUCGCGUCCUAAGAAUAAAGCAAGAGUUCAAAUGAUGCCAAAGAUUAUAAUUCAGAAGCCAGCUGUUUUUUCUUACAAGAAUAGUAAACAGGUCCCGUAGAACUAUGACUGUAAUGUGACAAUCCUGGGAAAGGAAAGUUCAGCUAGCCCGUUAAAGGAAGAUCAAAAUAUAGGCUCUCACACACGCAGUGGAAGGCGAUAUGAUACUCGAAUAGAACUGGUGAAAGAAAGAGAUGUGCUGGUCGAGCAAAAGAAAGGAAAAGCAGUUGAACUUGAUGUACCUGUUAAUGAACCAGUGAAAGAAGAAGAGGCUAAAGAAUUCCUAAAAUUUCUGAAACAUAGCGAGUACAGUGUGGUGGAACAGUUGCGUAAAUAGCCAGGCUGCAUAUCUAUAUUGGCCCUACUCCUGAGUUUAGAGGUGCAUUAGAGCGCAUUGAUGAAGGUGCUAAAUGAGACCUAUGUAACCAACGAUAUUUCUGUCAAUAAGUUGGAUCGGUUGGUUAACAACAUAAGUGCAGACAACUUUAUCUUUUUCAAUGAUGAUGAGAUUCUGCCAGGAGGGAUGGGAUCUACCAAAGUUUUGCAUAUAACUAGUAGAUGUAAAGGAUACACGUUGUCAGGGGUAUUGGUAGAUAAUGGUUUAACAUUGAAUGUGUUGACUUUAUCUACACUAAACAAGUUACCUGUGGAUAGUUCUCACAUGAAAGGAUGUCAAAACAUAGUAUGACCAUUUGAUGGCACGGAGAGGAGGGCCAUGGAGAGAAUAGAGGUACCCUUGUUAAUUGACCCAACUACGUAUGAGGUAGAUUUUCUAGUAAUGGAUAUUAAGCCCUCUUACAACUGCUUGUUGGGAAGACCUUGGAUACACUCGGCAGGGACAGUACCUUCAUCAUUACAUCAAAAGCUGAAGCUGGUGUCAGAAGGGCGGUUGGCAACAAUAAAUACUGAAGAAGAUUUUAUCGCGGCCGUGAGCAGUGAUACGCCAUAUGUAGAAACAGAUAAGGAAGCCAUUGAGUGUUUUUUUCGGUCUUUGGAGUUUGUGAAUGCAACAUUCAUCACUGAGGGAAGUAGAAUUCUGGAGCCAAAAAUGUCCAAAACUACGAUGAUGGGUUUACAAUUGAUGGUAGGCUGGGGAGCUAUAACAGGAAAGUGACUUGGAGGAGGCCUUCAAGGAAGAAUUGCAAUUCCAAUGCUAAAAGAAAAAUAGGAUCGCUUUGGUUUGGGGUUCAAGCUAGACGCAAGACAAAGGAAAAUAGAACUAGAAAGAAGACAAGAGAGAAGAAGAGCACGAGUGAGUGGAGGGGAAAUCAAGUGGGAGCCCAUGAUAAUUCCUCAUAUUUCCAAGUCUUUUGUAUCCGGGGGUAUUAUUUAUGCUGAACAAGGGAUGCUGAAGAAAGAAAGCAUGGAAGAAGCAUUGGAAAAUAUGUACAUCAAUGCCAUAUUUGAAGAGACAAUUGAAGAGGGGAUUUCGUCAAAUAUUCGUCCAUAUAAACCUGGGAGCAUUCUAGACAAUUGGACUGCGAAGGAUCUUCCUGUAGUUUUUAGAGCUUACUCAGAGUAAUGUUCGAAACAAACUUGUUGUUUUAAGCCUAGAAACAAUAAAGAUUUCUUUGUGAAAUAGGCUUAUGUUCAAACAUCAUUAUUUCAAUGAAGUACAUUUUUUGCCAUCAUUUUGAGUAAAUAUUAUUCUUUUCACAAGCAAUUGUGUUAUUCUUUCUAUCUAAAUAAUUAUCUUGAUUCUUUCUUCAAUCGUUCUUUUAUUCAUAAACGUAUCAUACAAAAUACUAAAUUAUCAAAUUCAUUCAUUCUUUGUAUAUUCUUGUACCUAUAAUAGGUCUCUAGAUAUCAAUGUCAUGAGCGACGCUGUUACUGACUCAGAAUCACUAUUUGAGCAAGACAUGUGUUUAGAGGGAUCUCAGGACUUUGAAGAUGACAGAGAUUAUGAUUUAUCUCCAGACUUGUUAAGGAUGGUAGAACGAGAGGAAAAGCAAAUUUUGCCUCAUAAAGAAACUGUAGACAUGGUGACUUUGGAAGAAGGGAAAGUUGUAAAAAUUGGAACAUGCAUAGCUGAAGAGACAAAGCGAGACCUUGUUGAGUUACUUCAGGAAUCCAAAGAUGUUUUUGCAUGGUCAUACCAGGACAUGCCCGGUUUAAGUCCUGAUAUUACGUUACAUUGCCUUCCCAUAAGAGAAGAUUGUAAGCCAGUACAACAGAAACUUUGACGAAUGAGGCUAGAUAUUGUCUUAAAAAUCAAGGAGGAAAUAAAAAAGCAGUUUGAUGCGGGGUUCCUUCAGGUGAUCAAGUACUCAGAAUGGGUAGCUAAUGUUGUGCCUAUUCGCAAGAAAGACGACAAGGUGCGAAUGUGUGUGGAUUAUAGAGAUCUAAAUAAGGCAAGCCCAAAGGACAACUUCCCUUUGCCUCACAUUGAUACACUAGUGGAUAAUACAGCUGGUUACUCAGUGUUUUCCUUCAUGGAUGGUUUCUCGGGGUAUAAUCAGAUCAAGAUGCAUCCUGAGGAUAUGAGAAAGACUACUUUUAUAACUUUGUGGGGCACGUUCUGUUACAAGGUGAUGCCAUUUGGAUUGAAGAAUACUGGAGCGACGUAUCAGAGAGCCAUGGUGACUUUAUUCCAUGAUAUGAUGCACAAGGAGAUUGAAGUGUAUGUUGACGAUAUGAUAGCCAAAUCUUGAACUGAAAAUGAGCAUAUUGAAGUAUUGAGAAAGUUGUUCAUGAGAUUGAGAAAGUUUCAGUUAAAGCUUAAUCCCCAAAAAUGUACUUUUGGGGCUAGAUCUGGAAAGCUAUUGGGCUUUGUAGUCAGUGAGAUGGGAAUUGGGAUUGAUUCAGACAAAGUCCGGGCUAUACAGGAGUUGUCUCCACCACGUACCCAAAAAAAAGUUUGAGGUUUCCUCGGAAGACUAAAUUACAUUGCGAUGUUUAUUUCUCAAUUAACAGAGAAGUGUAACCCUAUAUUCCGUCUUCUUAAAAAGCAUAACCUAAGGGAAUGGGAUGAUGAAUGUGAAAAGGCUUUUGAUAAGGUUAAAGAAUAUUUGUCAAGUCCUCCAGUGUUAUCACCCCCAAGUUCACACAGGUCGUUGAUAUUGUAUUUAACUGUAUCUGGAAAUUCAAUGGGAUGUGUGCUUGGUCAACACGAUGAAUCAGGAAGGAAGGAAAAGGCGAUAUAUUACCUCAGUAAGAAAUUCAACGAGUGUGAGUUGAGAUAUUCGCCAAUUAAAAAAUUGUGUUGCGUUUUGGUUUGGACAGCACAAAGAUUGAGGCAAUAUAUGUUGUAUCAUACAACUUGGCUAAUCUCAAAUUUGGAUCCUUUAAAGUAUGUGAUGGAGUCAAAUGCCUUGAAUGAAAGGAUGGCUAGGUGGCAAAUUUUGCUUUCUGAAUUUGACAUAAUCUACAUAAGUCAAAAAGCUGUAAAGGGGAGUGCAAUAGCAGAUUUUCUGGCCAGCUGAGCUUUAAAAGAUUAUGAACCCUUGAAUUUUGAUUUCCCCAAUGAAGAGAUAGUGUAUGUGGCAGCCGCUGAAGAGGACACUAUAAAAGGGCACUUUUGGAAAUUAAAUUUUGAUGGAGCCUCAAAUGAUGUGGGUAAUGGAGUUGGGGUAGUUCUGGUAUCCCCAGGUGGAGAUCAUUAUCCAUUCACAUGUAAAUUGGAUUUUGAUUGUACGAAUAAUAUGGCAGAAUAUGAAACAUGUAUCAUGGGGCUCAGAGUAGCUAUAGAGCGCAAGAUCAAAUCAUUGGAAGUAUAUGGAGAUUCUGCAUUGAUAAUUUACCAACUUCGAGGUGAAUGAGAGACAAGAGAUUCCAAACUAAUCAAUUACAGAAGGCUAGUGUUGGGGUUAGUGGAAGAGUUUGAUGAUAUUACUUUCAAUUAUCUCCAGCGCGAUGAAAACCAGAUGGCAGAUGCUUUGGCUACUUUGGCUUCCAUGAUCAAAGUAAGUAGAUAAGAGGAUGUGAAGCCCAUUCAGAUGAGUAUUUAUGAGGCUCCGUCUUAUUGUUAUAAUAUAGAGGAAAAAGAAAGUUGAUCAUCCUUGGUAUCAGGAUAUAUUACGAUAUGUGAGAAACCGUGAAUAUCCAGAUCAAGCCACGGAGAAUGACAAAAGAACGUUGAGAAGGCUUGCCUACGAUUAUAUUUUAGAUGGAAAGAUCCUGUACAAAAGAAGGAAGGAUCAGGUACUUUUGAGAUGUGUAGAUGCCGUGGAGUCCAAGAAAAUAUUGGAAGAAGUGCACGAAGGUGUUUGUGGAACACAUGCUAAUGGGUUCACAAUGGCCAGACAAAUUAUGAGGUUUGGAUAUUAUUGGUCCACCAUGGAAGGAGACUGCAUCAAUUAUGCCAAGAAAUGUCACAAAUGUCAAAUUUAUAGUGAUAAGAUUCACGUACCUCCCUCGCCUUUGCAUGUUAUGACUUCUCCAUGGCCAUUUUCCAUGUGGGCCAUGGAUGUCAUAGGGCCAAUUUCACCAAAUGCUUCAAAUGGUCAUCGUUUCAUUUUUUUGGUUUUUGAUUAUUUUACCAAGUGGGUAGAAGCUGCCUCGUACGCCAAUGUAACCAAAUCAGCAGUCAGCAGAUUCUUAAAGAAGGAAAUUAUAUGUCGAUAUGGAAUGCUUGAGAAGAUCAUAUCUGAUAAUGAGUUAAAUUUGAACAAUAGCACAAUAGCGGAGGUUUGCAGUCAGUUUAAGAUCAGACAUCAUAAUUCAUCAUCAUAUCAGCCAAAGAUGAAUGGGGCAGUGGAAGCAGCCAACAAAAAUAUCAAGAAAAUUGUUGGGAAAAUGACCGAAACUUAUAGAGAUUGGCAUGAAAAGUUGCCAUUUGCUCUUUAUGCUUAUCGAACAUCUGUCAGAACUUCUACUGGGGCAACACCUUUCUCAUUGGUCUAUGGAAUGGAAGCAGUUCUACCCAUUGAAGUGGAAAACAUCCCCUUCGAGUUUUGUCAGAAUUGAAGUUAGAUGAAGCAGAAUGGAUACAGUCUCGAUAUGAUCAGUUGAAUUUGAUUGAAGAAAAGAGGCUAAAGGCUAUUCAACAUGGUCAGAUGUAUCAAAAAAGAAUGAUGCGAGCUUAUGACAAAAAUGUUCACCCAAGAGAGUUUCAUGAGAGGGAUUUGGUUUUGAAAAAGAUCCUUCCUAUACAAAAGGAUUUUAGAGGAAAAUGGAUGCCGAAUUGGGAGGAGCCUUAUGUGGUGAAGAAAGUUUUCUCCAGUGGUGCAUUAAUUUUAGCUGAAAUGGAUGGAAGAAAUUUGUCUAAUCCAGUAAACUUGGAUUCAGUUAAAAAGAACUACACUUAACAAGGGAAAGAAGCCAAAGUGAAAACCCGCAAAGGGCGCUUUGAGACUUUUCAAAAAAAAAAGGGUCCAAAGUGUAAACCCGCAAAGGGCACUUUGAGACCAAAUAAAAAUGGAAAGGGCCGAAGUAAAAACCCGCAAAGGGCACUUUGAGACUCAAUAAUAAUAAAAAAGGAAAAAGAGAAAAAGGAGAGGCCAAUGUGAAAACCCGCAAAGGGCGCCUUGUGACCAAAGGGGAUUUGAGUUGAAAACCCGAAAAGGGCGGCUCAAAUAUGGAUCCAAAGUGAGAAGGCUGUGAUCUUGUUAUACUUGAAUUAACCAUGAAGGGGGUAUGUUGCAUCUUAGGACAUUGACAAAGUGCUUCUGAUCUCUUAAACACAUGUCAGUUGGAAUUGGUCUUCAAGAAGUUUGUACAGAGAAGCUCAGGUUGCGAUAACAAGGGUACCUAGUCUUCAUUUUCAGCAAAUUGGUUAUCUUUGAAUUUUCCUUUCUUUUUCAAGAUAUACAUUCCCAAAUUAAUGGCUAUUGUUGUUCUUUUGAUAAUUUACUUUGAACUCAAAUUUAAUUCCAUUCUUGCCCAUUAUUAUGAUUUGAUUGCAAGCAUGUUGCAUUGACAUAAUGAUGAAUGAACUAGUGAUGUUUUCACAAUAGAGGUUUUGCAUAUUACUCUAGGAGUUUCUAAAUAAUGCAGGAAUCUGAAGUGGAAUAGUUGUUUAGAAUACGCUCAAGUUCAAGAAUAUAUUUGGAUAAAUCGCCUCUUUGAGAUCUCUGUCCAAAUGAUGAUGGAGCAAACAGACAGGAUAUAGUAUUGAUGAUAGAAUUUUAUUUUCGAGAAAAGGGAAAUGACGUUUUGUAUUUGGCUAUAACACCGGAGGAGUGAGGUAGCAAAUUGAUCAGAGGAAGAUCCAACUAUGAGUUGCAAUGUUUUGUCUGAACAAUAGUAGUAGAAGGGAUAUUAGAAUUAUAGUGGGGCAAGCUCGCCAGACAAGAUAGGUUUGUUUCUUUGGGAUACUCCGUCAAGAUGAUGGUUGAGCAAAUGCGUCAGUAAUAGCAUAUUAAUGAACAACGAGUAACGAUACCUUAAAUUGCUAAAAUAGAAUCAUCCUCAUUUCUGUAUAUAUCAUUCAUAACACAUUUAGUUAGGAGCAUUGGGUUCAUUUCAAUAUUAGCAUCCUAAUUAUUUGGCAUAAGCAUGUGCAUAUAAAAUAGAGUCUAUGGGAUAGGUUCCCCAGAGGACAGUGUAGUGACAUUGGUAAAGAUUGAAGAUCUUAUCUCCCUAAAGUUGCAGUGGAGUAGAUCGAAAAUGGUAAAUCUUAUCUCCAUGUAUCGACAAUGGAGCAGAUUUUACCACCAGCCUCAUCUCUCUGAGAUAACAAGAGAGCAGGUUGAAGAAUGAGUCUUAUCUUCCUGAGGUAGCAAUGAAGCAGACUGAAGAGUGAAGAUCUUAUCUCCCAAAGCAGUAGCAGAGCAGAUUGAAAAAGGCGAAUCUUAUCUUCAUGUAUCGAUUUUAUCACUAGCCUUAUCCCUCUGGGGUAACAAGAGAGCAGGUUAAAGAUGGAGUCUUAUCUUUCUGAGGAAGCAAGAAAUUAGACUGAAGAUUGAAGAUCUUAUUUUCCUAAGCAGUAGCGGAGCAGAUCAGAGAUGACAAAUCUUAUCUCCAUGUACCGGCAAUGGACCUAACCCCUUAAUAAGGACCUAACCCAAUCACAUAGUCCAAGAGGGCUAUACUAAAAUCCCUAGCCCAAACUCAAAAGGAAUCCCAGCAGCCAAGCACCAGAAGCUUCUGGAACAUGCCAGAACAGUGCCAAGGGGUCGGGUCUCACGAGCGGUUUCUUCGCACGACUUCUUUCACACGUGCCUCUCCCCGCUCCUCCGUACGAAUGAUCCUGUAAAGAAUACACGAGAAGGAAUAGACUAACAGGAUAUACAAAAUGACAGCAUGAAAUAUUUUUAUUUUUCGCUAUUUUAUUCUGUAAGUUUAGGCUAUAAAAAGCCCUCGUUUGUACCCUGUAUUUUUCUACGCACACUACGCAAAUACAAUACUGAGAAUAAUAAAAAUUAGAAAUGUGAUUUAAUAUUUUUCUUCCGUCUUCAAUAUUUUUUUCCUUUUUUUUCAUAUAUCAUGUUUUUAUUUUAUUUUUUAAAAAAAAAGCAAGAAAAGCGAGAAAGUUACCUUCGUUAAAUGCAUCGAUGAGAUCCCUUGGCUUCUCUGUCGAAAUCGGGGUUAGCAAUGCGGAUUAUCAAGUGAGAAUGGUCUUUGAAUGUUGAUUUUGGAGGAAGUAAAGGCUGCUUGUACAUCACUCACCAAUUUUAAUGGUGGACUGGUGAUGAACGGGCCUUAGCAAAUGGAGGCUGCUAGAAUGAACCCUCGAGAAUUGAUUUUAGGGCAGUGACUUUUAGUUUAAUUGUUGGCUGCGUUUGGAAAAUAAAUGGGAAAAGAAAGGUUUUGAAUAACCUAUUAAACGAAGCGGCACCGUUUACACCCAUGGAGGUCCGCGCGUUGGCCCGAUAAAGGAGUCGGAUCAUCGCCCUUUUUGUUUGAAUGGGUAUAUUGCGCGCUGGAUCCCUCCUUUCGCGUGGCGCCUCCAAUUGUGCCCUAUGUGUCUUCUUUGUUUUUUGUUAAUUGGGCUCUAUAAUUUCUGCAUUUUUUAAUUUUGGUCUGUGAUACAGUACUGCGUUUUGGGCUUGGGAAAAUUUACAAUUUCAGUCCCUAUACAUUUAUGCGGGUUGAGCAUUGAUCCAUUUUACAAUUACUUUAUUUGCAAAUUAUCCUCCUUAUUUUACUGCAAUCUUAAUUUGGUCUUAUAUUUGUACAAUCGGUUAACU